UGCAGUAUUUAGAAAUCAAACAAAAGUGUUUUGUGCUUGAAAUUAGACCCCUUAGCUGGAUACGGGGAAGAGAGACAAUUUUGAGGGAUAUUCCCGGUAAGACCGGGAUACUUGGCAGAAAAAUUGCAGCCCAAUCAGAUUGCAGUGUUGCAAGAGAGAAACCUUACAGCUCAAUUUAGCUGAGAAGGCAAGAUGGCUCACUGUAUUUCUCCAGAGAUGCAGCAACAGCAUGAACAGCUCCUGCCAGAUAUCUAGGCUACUAGAAAAGAACCAUGGUCUAUCUUACUAUCUAUAAAUGAAGCUUGAACAGUUUGAAGUUGUAGAUUUUUUGUAUUAAAAGGACUUGUCUUUGUUUUGAGUUUUAGUGUACUACCAAUAAGAUUAAUUUGGCAAAA
Molecule: long non-coding RNA, 395 nt
Organism: Halichondria panicea
Lineage: Eukaryota; Metazoa; Porifera; Demospongiae; Suberitida; Halichondriidae
Exons: 2
Source: RefSeq, a predicted model, not a curated record